This 98-nucleotide transfer RNA is filed under the name Nocardia farcinica. RNAcentral's name for it is "tRNA-Ala". Lineage: Bacteria; Bacillati; Actinomycetota; Actinomycetes; Mycobacteriales; Nocardiaceae. The record is from RNAcentral.
UGGCCGGGCUGGUGCUGUGGUGGCGCCGGGUCCGCCAGCGGCGGGCCAGGAACUCCCCGGCGUGGCUGCUCGCUCCCGAUCGCUCGCGGCCCGGCCGG